GUGCCAGCAGCCGCGGUAAGACGAACCGUGCGAACGUUGUUCGGAAUCACUGGGCUUAAAGGGCGCGUAGGCGGCCGCACAAGUCAGGGGUGAAAUCUUUCGGCUCAACCGGAAAAGUGCCUCUGAUACUGUGCGGCUCGAGGGAGGUAGGGGCGGACGGAACUUCCGGUGGAGCGGUGAAAUGCGUUGAUAUCGGAAGGAACGCCGGUGGCGAAAGCGGUCCGCUGGCCCUCUACUGACGCUGAGGCGCGAAAGCCAGGGGAGCAAACGGGAUUAGAUACCCCGGUAGUCC
This 292-nucleotide ribosomal RNA is filed under the name uncultured bacterium. RNAcentral describes it as "partial 16S ribosomal RNA". It matches the Rfam family "Bacterial small subunit ribosomal RNA", at positions 505 to 796 of the family's 1533-position model. The record is from RNAcentral.